GUAGCCUGGGAAGGGAGAACGAGGGGAAGAUUAGAAUUUCACUAGGGGACAGUGAGAGGCAAUCACGACUAACUGGUAACUGUUCCAUCACUGAGCCCAUUCCAGCUUGCCAGAGGCGGGGACACCUUGGACACUGGGAGGAGCUCCUCUGGAGUUCCCCCGAUUGCAGGAAUUCUCACCCACCCCCCAACAGCCAAUGCUCUUCAGAAACAUCCCUGAUGGCUUAGUUGUGUGAUGCAGGUGGGCCAGUGGGAAAGAAGGCAGCAGGGAAAUCUAGACAGACCACUCUGAUGCCCUCCAAGUAGCAGGGAGAGGUCCGAAGGAACUCGAGACCCACCCUCCCAUGGGUGGCCAGGAUGAACUAUAGACACUGCACCUGCAUUUCAAACCCCAAUGGAAUUCUUUGAGCAAAAGGCAGUGUGUGUAUGUGCCCUGCGCCUGUGCUCUCCCGAAUGCCCCUGCCCCUGCUUGGAUGUAUGCAUGUGUGGUGGCCUCAGGACCUGCUACAUCACUAAUAUGCAGUAAGAACCACUGCUUAGUUUUGGACACACAAUAUAAGGACCAAAAAGUUUCCUGGAAACAAAGGAAGAGCCCAGGAAUUAUUUUGUCUCAGUUGCCUCCCCCCAUCUGAAAACUUCUUACUAUUUCUUCCAGGCUUCUAAACAGUCACCCAUGUCCUGGAUAAUCCCAGCUUCUUUCCUUCUACAUUCUAGAUUGGCCAUUUACUUGCAUUGUAACACUGGGAAACCCACUUUGCUUAGAAACUGUCAACUGGGAAGAAAAAACCUUGACACUAAUCUUUUCUCAUUAUGAUCUCCUUUUUAAGAUAUAUAAAGAAUUGAAUCACUAAUCAUUAGAGAAAUGCAAAUUAAAAUGACUCUCAGGUGCCACUUCACACCUAUCAGAUUGAUUAACAUGACAGAAAAGGAAAAUUACAUUUGUUGGGGAUGUAGAAAAAUAGAGACACUAUUGCAUUGUUGGUGGAAUUGUAAACUGAUCCAACCUAUUUUGGAGAACAGCUGGAUCUAUGUCCCAAGGAUUAUAAAACUGUGCACACCCUUUAACUCAGCAAUGCCACUACUUGCUCUAUAUCCCCAAAGAGAUCAAAGAAAUUGAAAAGAACUUAAAUGUAUCAAAAUCUUUCUAGCAGCAAUUUUUGUGGUGGUAAAGAAUUGGAAAUUGAGGGAAUACCGUGCAUUUGGACAAUGACUGAAUAAGUUGUGGUAUAUGAUUGUAAUGGAAUUCUAUGGUGUUAUAAGAAAUGAUGAACAAGAUGAUUUCAGAAAAACCUGGAAAUACAUGAACUGAUGCAGAAUGCUGCCAAUGAGGUAUUUCAUAUUAUCCUCAAAUUUUUCAUUCUUUUAAUUUUGCUUUAUAGAUUCUUUCUGCCUUGCGAAGUCAUUUGCUUCUAGUUGUUGGAUUCUAGUUUUUAAAGACUGAAUUUCAUCCCUGGCUUUUUGAUCAUCCUUCUCCUUCUGGUCUGAUUUUCUUUGGAGGUCAUCUUUCAUCUUCUUUGCCUCAUUUUCAAGCUGGUUAAUUUUGGCUUUCUAGACACUAUUUUCUGUUUCCAAAGGAUAGGAAUAAGUGUUUUCAAUCAAAGAAAUCCAAGCUAUCGAUAGCCCCAUGAAAAGAUUCUUCAUAUCAUUAAUAAGAAGAGAAAUGCAGAAUAAAUCAGCUCAGAGGUUCCACUUCAUACUCAGACUAGCAAAGAUAACAAUUAAAAAAAUAAAAAUCAUAAAGCUUGGAGCUAUACUCUAAAAGUCAUAACUCAAUAAUUACAUUACUAGAUCUAUACUCCAAAGUGAGGGUUGGGAGAAUAUACAUUUAUUAAGCACCUACUAUGUAAUGAGGCAAGUCAUUUCACCUUUGUUUACCUCAAUUUCCUCAUCUGUGAAAUGGGGAUUGUAAUAGCACCUACCUCAGGGUUGUUGAGAAGAGCAAAUUAUAUAUUUGUAAAGUGCUUAGGAUAGUGCCUGGCAUGUUGUUGUUGUUCAGUAGUUCAGUUCUGUCCAAUUAUGCAUGACCCCAUACACCAUACUUUAUUUUUAAAAUUUAAUUUAAUUUAAAAAAUUUUUGAACUUAAAGUAAUUUAUUUAGUCAAUUUAGAACAUUAUUCCUUGGUUACAAGAAUUAUAUUAUUUCCCUUCCUACCCUCCCCCCUUCCCACAGCCGACACUCAAUUUCAUUGGGUAUUACAUGUGUCCUUGAUCAAAACCUACUUUCAUGUUGGUGUUUGCAUUAGGAUAUUCAUUUAGAGUCUACAUCCCCAACCAUAUCACCUUGACUCAUGUAUUGAAGCAGUUUUUCUUCUGUGUUUCUGCUCCCACAGUUUUUCCUCUGAAUGUGGAUAGUGCUGGAGUCUGAGGAUCAAAAACUAGAAAAAAUUAUAACAAAAUUCAUCUGAAAGGACAAAAGGUCAAGAAUAUCAAGGGAAUGACUUCUGGAGGUGAAGCCAAGAUGGCAGAGUAAUCCUCAGCAGCUCCACACCACCAUGAGAAUCCUCCCCAAUCAAAAUUAAAAUAUCACCACAGAACAAAUAGAGGAGUGAAAGAACAAACCAAGAGACAGAAUGAACAGCUUUCAAGAAAAGAAAAAACCCAAAAGGUAGGCAAUAAAAAUCUGGGCCACCAGGGUGAGAGCAGAGCAGACCCAAUAGACUAUAGCAAGGAGAGAAGAAUAAGUCAAGAGUAAACCACACCCCUCCACCCUACAUCUGCUGUCCAAUUAAGAGAGGCAGAGGAAAAGUGGGGAAAGGAAAUGAAAGUGAAGCAAAGAUAAAGGAAAAUGAUGCAAGGAAAAAGGAAAGUAAUGUAAAAAGAAAUGGGCCAAUUGAAAAAAGAGAACCAAAACCUGACAGAGGAAAAUCAUGCCUUAAAAAUCAGAAUUGACUAUCUAGAAACUAAUGAUUUAAUAAGAAA
Monodelphis domestica (gray short-tailed opossum) is the source of this 2918-nucleotide non-coding RNA. The record is from RefSeq and is a predicted model, not a curated record. Lineage: Eukaryota; Metazoa; Chordata; Mammalia; Didelphimorphia; Didelphidae.